RNAcentral lists this ribosomal RNA (484 nucleotides) under uncultured bacterium. Its description in RNAcentral is "partial 16S ribosomal RNA". It matches the Rfam family "Bacterial small subunit ribosomal RNA", at positions 30 to 507 of the family's 1533-position model. The record is from RNAcentral.
AUUGAACGCUGGCGGCAGGCCUAACACAUGCAAGUCGAGCGGAUGAAGGGAGCUUUCUCCUGGAUUCAGCUGCUGACGGGUGAGUAAUGCCUAUGAAUCUGCCUGGUAGUGGUUGAUAACGUCCGGAAACUGGCUCUUAUACCGCAUACUUCCUGAGGGAGAAAGUGGGUGAUCUUCUGACCUCACGCUAUCAGAUGAUCCUAGUUCGUAUUAGCUAGUUGUUUUGGUAAAGUCCUACCAACGCGACGAUCCGUAACUGGUCUUAGAGGAUGAUCAGUCACACUGGAACUGAGACACGGUACAGACUCCUAAGGGAGGCAGCAGUGGGGAAUAUUGGACAAUGGGCGAAAGAAUGAUCCAGCCAUGCCGCGUGUGUGAAGAAGGUCUUAGGAUUGUAAAGCACUUUAAGUUGGGAGGAAGGGCAGUAAGAUAAUACCUUGCUGUUUUGACGUUACCAACAGAAUAAGCACCGGCUAACUUCGUG